GGUGCUUUAGCUCAGCUGGAUAGAGCAAUUGCCUUCUAAGCAAUAGGUCGGGAGUUCGAUUCUCUCAAGCAUCA
Molecule: transfer RNA, 74 nt
Filed under: Treponema bryantii
Lineage: Bacteria; Pseudomonadati; Spirochaetota; Spirochaetia; Treponematales; Treponemataceae
Also listed under: 2 other names
Description: tRNA-Arg
Rfam family: tRNA
About the family: Transfer RNA (tRNA) molecules are approximately 80 nucleotides in length. Their secondary structure includes four short double-helical elements and three loops (D, anti-codon, and T loops).
Source: RNAcentral